UUCCAGACUCCUACGGGAGGCAGCAGUGAGGAAUAUUGGUCAAUGGACGGAAGUCUGAACCAGCCAUGCCGCGUGCAGGAAGACGGCUCUAUGAGUUGUAAACUGCUUUUGUACAAGGGUAAACCUGAAUACGUGUAUUCAGCUGAAAGUACUGUACGAAUAAGGAUCGGCUAACUCCGUGCCAGCAGCCGCGGUCAUACGUAGGAUCCGAGCAUUAUCCGGAGUGACUGGGUGUAAAGAGUUGCGUAGGUGGCAUAGUAAGUAGCUAGUGAAAUCUGGUGGCUCAACCAUUCAGACUAUUAGCUAAACUGCUAAGCUCGAGACCGUUAGGGGUAACUGGAAUUUCUAGUGUAGGAGUGAAAUCCGUAGAUAUUAGAAGGAACACCGAUAGCGUAGGCAGGUUACUGGGACGGUUCUGACACUAAGGCACGAAAGCGUAGGGAGCAAACGGGAUUAGAUACCCUCGUAGCC
Molecule: ribosomal RNA, 471 nt
Filed under: uncultured bacterium
Lineage: Bacteria
Description: bacterial SSU rRNA
Rfam family: Bacterial small subunit ribosomal RNA
Source: RNAcentral